GACAGGAGGCCUCGAGCGUUAGGCGGAAUCAGCUAGGGCUUAAAGCGGUGUGUAGGCGGACGCCUAAGUACCUUGUGAAAUCCCACGGCUCACCCGUGGAACCGCUGGGUAUACUGGGCGUCUUGGGCCAUUCAGGGGCGACUGGAACAAGCGGUGGAGCGGUGAAAUGCGUAGAUAUCGCUUGGAACGCCGACGGUGAAAACAGGUCGCUGGGAAUGUGCCGACGCUGAGACACGAAAGCCAGGGGAGCAAACGGG
This 257-nucleotide ribosomal RNA is filed under the name uncultured bacterium. Its description in RNAcentral is "partial 16S ribosomal RNA". It matches the Rfam family "Bacterial small subunit ribosomal RNA", at positions 524 to 776 of the family's 1533-position model. The record is from RNAcentral.